Molecule: ribosomal RNA, 560 nt
Filed under: uncultured bacterium
Lineage: Bacteria
Description: partial 16S ribosomal RNA
Rfam family: Bacterial small subunit ribosomal RNA
Source: RNAcentral
UGGGGAAUAUUGCACAAUGGGCGAAAGCCUGAUGCAGCAACGCCGCGUGAGUGAUGAAGGCCUUCGGGUUGUAAAGCUCUGUCUUUUGGGACGAUAAUGACGGUACCAAAGGAGGAAGCCACGGCUAACUACGUGCCAGCAGCCGCGGUAAUACGUAGGUGGCAAGCGUUGUCCGGAUUUACUGGGCGUAAAGGAUGCGUAGGCGGAUUUUUAAGUGAGAUGUGAAAACCCUAAGCUUAACUUGGGGACUGCAUUUCAUACUGGAAAUCUAGAGUGCGGGAGAGGAGAAUGGAAUUCCUAGUGUAGCGGUGAAAUGCGUAGAGAUUAGGAAGAACACCAGUGGCGAAGGCGAUUCUCUGGACCGUAACUGACGCUGAGGCAUGAAAGCGUGGGUAGCAAACAGGAUUAGAUACCCUGGUAGUCCACGCCGUAAACGAUGAGUACUAGGUGUAGGAGGUAUCGACCCCUUCUGUGCCGCAGUUAACACAAUAAGUACUCCGCCUGGGAAGUACGAUCGCAAGAUUAAAACUCAAAUGAAUUGACGGGGUCAUAGCUGUUUU